Molecule: ribosomal RNA, 359 nt
Filed under: uncultured bacterium
Lineage: Bacteria
Description: bacterial SSU rRNA
Rfam family: Bacterial small subunit ribosomal RNA
Source: RNAcentral
GUAAAUUUGGGUAAUUAACUACCCCAUAAUAUAUUUGAUAGGCAUCUUAUUAAUAUUAAAGCUUCGGCACUUGAUGAGUGGGUGUGCGGCUGAUUAGAUAGUUGGCGGGUAACGGCCCACCAAGUCUACGAUCAGUAGCUGAUGUGAGAGCAUGAUCAGCCACACGGGCACUGAGACACGGGCCCGACUCCUACGGGAGGCAGCAGUAAGGAUAUUGGACAAUGGACGAAAGUCUGAUCCAGCCAUGCCGCGUGAAGGAUUAAGGUCCUCUGGAUUGUAAACUUCUUUUAUAUGGGACGAAAAAGGGCAUUCUUGUUCACUUGACGGUACCAUAUGAAUAAGCACCGGCUAACUCCGUG